AGAUAUUGAGGGAACGAUCAUCAAAUAUUUUACUAGAGUCACAUUGCCGAGUCAUCAAAAUAAGCACACGCAAAAAGAACAGACUGGAAAAGAAAGGAACGUAAUUGGCAUGAUAGAGACCUUUCAAAGAAUAUGGAUGUGCAAUAUAUAAGGAGCUGCAGAUAAAAGCAAGUUUCGUUGCCAUAAUUACAGAUCAUUAGGCCAUUUCAGAUCUGAAUGCUCUAAACCAAGGAAGAAGCUGAAUCAUGAUGAUCAAAAGGAAUCUGGUAGGUCUUGUCAUUAUGGUUUUGUUUUUACUGAAUCAUUGGUAGCUGCUAUGAAGAUAAAAAUUUAGUUGUUAGAUUCUGAAGCUACCUCCAAUUUUGCUAUCAUGAAAGAAGGUUUUGAGUGUGUCUAAAACAAGUUUGUAAUGGCUAGCAUUUGUUUAUAUGGGAACUGAUGCAAAAGCUGAAAUUUUGGAAUUGGAACUUUCGAACUUCAAUUACAUUAAGGUGGCACUCUUUCUUUGAAGGAAACUUUGUAUGCUCCCAGCAUGUGAAGGAAUUUAACUUGUGUUCCGAAGCUAGCAUGCACGAUUUUGUAGCAACCCUGAACAAGGGAAAGGCAGUUGUUAGGAAGAAUGGUGAUUUUGUUUCUGUGCUUGUUUAGUUGAUUAAUUGCAUCUUUUUUCUUUUAAUUCUAAUAAUGCCUCAAGUUCUUCUGAUGAUAUUUCUUAUUCAUAUUCUAUGAGUGCAAAUAGGAAGAUCUUGCAUUGAGUGUUGGGAACUUCUGAUGAACCUAUGCUUGAGUCAUAUAAGAUAAAAAUUGAUUCUCAUGAAAAAAUGGAGCUGCUGAGGGAAGGAACAGAACGCUAUUAGACAAGGUCAGAUCCAUGACGGCCUAAGCAUCAGCUCCUCUUAAGUUUUGGGGAGAAGAACUUCAGACAACUGCUUACAUUUAAAUCAUGCGACUUCUAAAUCU
This 960-nucleotide long non-coding RNA is filed under the name Phoenix dactylifera (date palm). Its description in RNAcentral is "long non-coding RNA (PDAC_LNC016760)". Lineage: Eukaryota; Viridiplantae; Streptophyta; Magnoliopsida; Arecales; Arecaceae. The record is from RNAcentral.